This 253-nucleotide ribosomal RNA is filed under the name uncultured bacterium. Its description in RNAcentral is "partial 16S ribosomal RNA". It matches the Rfam family "Bacterial small subunit ribosomal RNA", at positions 1249 to 1500 of the family's 1533-position model. The record is from RNAcentral.
GCAGCCCCGCCGAGGGUGAGCAAACCACAGAAACGGCGUCCCAGUUCGGAUUGCAGCCUGCAACUCGGCUGCAUGAAGCUGGAAUCGCUAGUAAUCGCGGAUCAGAAUGCCGCGGUGAAUACGUUCCCGGGUCUUGUACACACCGCCCGUCACACCAUGGGAGUCGGGAAUGCCCGAAGUCAGUGACCCAACCGAAAGGGGGGAGCUGCCGAAGGCAGGCCUGGUAACUGGGGUGAAGUCGUAACAAGGUAAC